This is a long non-coding RNA of Mercenaria mercenaria, 1250 nucleotides long. RefSeq lists it as uncharacterized. The record is from RefSeq and is a predicted model, not a curated record. Lineage: Eukaryota; Metazoa; Mollusca; Bivalvia; Venerida; Veneridae. The transcript has 2 exons.
GAUUUUAACUUUACUUUCGUUUUCUCAUAUUUUCGGAAAACCUGGUUAUAAAUAACUGACAUAUUUACUUUACUUUCGUUUUCGUAUUUUCGGAAAACCUGGUUAUAAAUAACUGACGUAUUUUCUGAAAAUGUUAUAUGGGAUUUACGUGACAUUUUCUGAAAAUGGUUAUGAACGGUUGUUAAGUUACGUGUAAACAAAUAUAACGUAUUUCGCAACACAAACGUAAUUGAUUAACACCAAAACCUUCUUUGCUAGCAUAAAAAAGUUGCAUGAAAGUAAAUAACUUUAUACUGCUAACUUAUACCUACAACAACAGAACAGAAAGGAGUUUUAAAGGACUAUAAUGAGUAUUCAAGAGUUUUACCGAGAUAUCGAUGGUCUGACUGUAUAUUUAAGAGAAAAAUACCCCAAUGACCACGAAAUACAGAAAUGGAAUAAUUCAUAUUGCAAACAAUAUUACGAACUUCUUAACCAAUACGUUUGGGAACCGAACGAAUUACAAAAACUUAGGGAAGACAACGAACAUUUAAAACAAGAUAUAAUAAAAUUACAACAUCAAUUGGCAUCGAAAAAAACAACAACACGCACUACAAGAAAAACCAGAUACAAUGAAGUAAAAAAGAAAUUGGAAGAAUCCUUCUCAGAUGAACGAAAAAUAACCGACGAAUUUACCCGCGACCCCUCAACUUCAGAUGAAUGUGUCGAAUGUUUAGAAAUGCUGGAUAAAUUGAUACGCUCAGAUACAAGAAAUAUAGUUUUAAAUUCAUGUCAAAAAGGAAAAGUUUUAAAAAAGUUUAAAAUGUUAACAAAAAGGGGAAAAAAAAGGAUUCAUGGUAACACUUAAAAAUUAUAAUUUUAAUUAUUCAUUAUCACAUUGCAACUUUUUAAUACGUUUGUAUGAUUUUGCAUGAAAUAUAAUGACAUUUUAAAAUAUGCUGUAUCUAUUGAAUAUAUUUACAAAAAAUUUACAACUAUUAAACAAGUAUUACAAGAUUUAAGUACAAACAACUGAAAUCACUCAACCGUUUGAGUAUGCCAUAGGCAUACGCAUGAUUGAAUAUCAUAAUACUUUUAUGUUGUGAAAAUCACUCAACCGUUUGAGUAUGCCAUAGGCAUAUGCAUGAUUGAACAUACGCUUUUGAGAGUAGUAUGGAAUAUAACGUUUAUGGUACAUUUUUGUUAGUAGUAAAGAAUAUUAUGUUCUUGAUACAUUUUAACUCAUUUUAUUAAAAUAAUUUAUCAUUGUU